UAAUACGUAGGGUGCAAGCGUUGUCCGGAAUUAUUGGGCGUAAAGAGCUCGUAGGCGGUUUGUCGCGUCUGCUGUGAAAUCCCGAGGCUCAACCUCGGGCCUGCAGUGGGUACGGGCAAACUAGAGUGUGGUAGGGGAGAUUGGAACUCCUGGUGUAGCGGUGGAAUGCGCAGAUAUCAGGAAGAACACCGAUGGCGAAGGCAGAUCUCUGGGCCAUUACUGACGCUGAGGAGCGAAAGCGUGGGGAGCAAACAGG
Molecule: ribosomal RNA, 256 nt
Filed under: uncultured bacterium
Lineage: Bacteria
Description: partial 16S ribosomal RNA
Rfam family: Bacterial small subunit ribosomal RNA
Source: RNAcentral